Molecule: non-coding RNA, 4416 nt
Organism: Leptonychotes weddellii (Weddell seal)
Lineage: Eukaryota; Metazoa; Chordata; Mammalia; Carnivora; Phocidae
Source: RefSeq, a predicted model, not a curated record
AAAAAUACUUUAACUACUGGUACUGAAGUCUGUAAUGUGAACCAACUGAAGCUGCAAAGGGGGAAGAAGGUUGAAACAAUCAUGCAUUACUGGAGUUUUUAAAUUGUAUUACUGGAUUCAGGAAAAUGAAUGUGUUCCCUGAAAUUAAUGAGAUUUGUGUUUUAUGUUUGUAACCAGCAGAGGUAGCUGACGGUGAUGAAAGACUGGACAGCAUUUCCCUACCACCAACAGAUGGAGGCAGAGAGAUGUUUCAGAUGAGGAAAUUGAACCCGGGAUGGUAGAACCACCUCAUGGAACUGAAAAGAAUUUCCAGGAAUCUGAGAAAGAAGGAACAUUAGUGAUCAUCUAGUCCCCUCCCUCCUUUUUAUCCAGUCCUUUUAUUUUACAGGUAAAAAAGCCUGAGGCCCAGAAACCCUAAAUGACUCUCUCAAGGUCUCACAGCUGGUUGGUGGCCUGGCCGGAGCCCGGCCUCUCGACUUCCAGCCCUUCUACCGCAUAGCUUUCUCAUACCUAAGCCAAAGCCAGCUUUUCUCUGCAUGUUUCCUAAAGAUCCUAAGAGUCGAUGGAUGUACUAAUCCCUUUAGGAUUCCAUUCCACUGUCUGUCUUCACAAUUAGAAUGUCUGUCGUAAGCCUACCUGAAGUCCUCUGCAGUUGAAACUCACUGCAGCUCUUUCUCAGUUCUUGCCCGAGGUCGUGAGGUCCUGACGGACACAGUAGGAGUAGCCAGGUCUCUCCACUAGACUCUUGGCGUUUGAUGCAGAUUACUGCACAGCAUGAUAAAUCAUACCGUUUAUCACUUAGAAAAGGGGAAAAGAAGUCGCAGAUUGGUGCUCAAAUGUCACAGUAUCGGAAUUACAUCAUCUUGGUUAGAGUAGCGUGUCUGGAUCGCCUCUAAAGUAAAAGCCCCGGUCUGGGCAGCGUCUCUGCAAAGAGCACCACUGCUGGCCCUCCCUCCUCACCUCUGCCGCAGGAGGCCGCCGCAGAGGCGAAGUGCACCUCUCCUGCACCGGUGGCUUGACCCUUGCAUUUGAGACUCACUGGUCAGACCUUCCUUCUCUGGGUGAUCUCAGCUGCCGACGGUGGGUCCUUUUGAAAGAUGUAGCAACACCUUUUUUAUUACCUGUUUUACGGUCUUUUUCCUCCUUCCAAAUCCGUGUGUGUUGGGGAGGGGCGGGGAGAGGGGGGUAACCCUUCAGCGCGUCUACGAACGGGGACUGAGCAGGUCCGGGGUGCGGUCAGCCAGGCCGCCGAUGUUUGAUUCAGUCGCUACACUUCAGCAACCUUCUGCGGGUCUAGUUUUAACAAGAAUAAGAGCGGGUUUUCUUCAUUCCUUUUCCCUCACAACCCUGUCAGUAAGCGUGUUGGAGCAGCUCCCAGGAAUCAGCGUGGUCAGGUUCUGGAAACCAAUACCCGCCCUCAGGGAGCCCCGGGGCCUGCGUGGGGCAGGCAGCGUGAGCAGCGCGCUCUGAUGGCCCGAGACCCGCCCGCGACUGGGGGACACGCUCUGCUGGGGAGGGAAAAAAAAGUACAGAGAAAGUAAAAUUGAAACAGUGCUUUCUAAAAUUUACAAAGGAGGCUUCUUCAUUUGAAAGAGGGUAGCGCAGAGCUCACCUGGGCCUAGCAAUUUUUGUCAUAAAUUGGCCAUCUUUGACAUACUUCUGAACAGUUAAUGAAAAGUAAAGGAAGAAAAUAUAAAUUAAUUUUACCACUCAGACAACCAUUAUUGGGUAUUUUUCCCCAGACUUUUCUAUUUUAUUUACACAAUGGAGACCCAAAUAUGUAAAAUUUUUGUUUCCUGAGGGUUUUUUUUUCCUUUUUUUCAACCUCACAAGCAUUUUCCACUUUUCACAAAUCUUCAUACACAUCAUUUUAAUAGCUGCAUCAUGUUCUCUCUUACAGGUAAACUGUAUUUUAUUUAGCCAUAUUCUAUUCCUGGACAGUAUGUGGACAUACUCCAAUAGUAACACACAGUCAUGGACUUUCCUGUAAAAAUAAUCAGUACAAAUUUCCAGUGGCUAACAGUGCUCACAACUAAAGCCUUGGCUGAAAAAUUAGUGACUUAAAUGUGAAACAGAUACUUCAUCAGCGAGGGUCUCCACCGAGCCAGCCUCCUUGCCUCUAGCCCCGUCCUAGAAGGUGUACAAGUCUCCUUUAGAGAAGCGGCCCCCCUUCAUUGUCUUGUCUCUGUUGUAGGUCAUAUAUUUGACACCAGGAGAGAAAACACAGAAGACACAGAGCCAGAUUUCACUGCCUAGACUUUCCUUUUAGUGACACUGUUCAUUAGCACAUGUAACUCCUUCCGUUGAAUUCCCUCAGAGAUCCACGUAGCAUUUCAGGUUCCUGCAAAGUGUGGGCGUUCUGUGAAGUUUUCCCAUCACAUUUGAAUAGUUUUCGUAUACUUUCUUUGUCGUAUGUGAUGAUCAAGCCUCCAAUUUGGUGUUAAGAUUUUUAGAAAUCAUUUUGAGAGUUGACUCGUUUGUUACCUUUUAAAAGUCCAGCGUAUGACCAGUGAGUUCAUUGUUCACUAAAAAGAAGCAGUUCUCUCUCGUUUUUUUUUUUCAUAAGCUCAAUGUGAAUAUAUAGAGUUUUGAAGCAUACUUAUUUUAAUGUGCACGCCUUAGAUGCAGAAUAAAGGAGAACAGCUCUUUCCAGUACUGAGGGAGCAGUUGGGAAGGCCAACGUUAAUUAGGCCUUCAGCGGCUUAGAAGAUGAAAACGCUGUUUUGGGAGACAGGAUAGCUCUGACCUAUUAGAUGAAAUCAUUUGUAACAUUGGUUCCUCUAAAGAGAGCCAUGUGUAGCUGAGUAAGUGCAAAUGAUCUAUGAACUCUUAGGGAAGAAAGACCUUUCACAAAGACGUGUCAACACAGUGACAAAAUGACUAAUUAAAAGGCGAGAAACUCAAACCAGUGACCCACACGACACCUAACAACUGUUUUCACAGAGGAUUUUAAACUGCGGGGUCCAGGCUUUUGGCACCGUGUGGCCACCAGCCACAAAUGGACUUAAUAUUAUAUAUUUCAUUUGGCUCCUAGUACACGCGCCCUCCACUUCGUAUGAAACCAACAUACGAAAAUAAGGGUUUAUACUAAAGAGAUAGCUUGCCAUGUGGGUAUUUGUUUUAUAGAAAUAUUUACCUCCAGAUUCCCUUCUCCAAAAAGAUGGUGAAUUUAAAAAUACCGUUUUACUUAGAAACAUUGCAUGUAGACCUCAUUCACUGUAUAAAGCAAAUUACCAUAAAAUCUUUGGCACUUGACCCAAAGGCCAAAAAUCAGCCGGAAAGAAACUUGGGCUGUCGACAUGCCGAGCCGGAGGGGGAAAGAAUUGUUGCUAUUUCCCUAGCACCUGUUUUAUGAGGUCCUAGAGCAUUAGAGCUCAGAGUUCUUGUAGAGGCACCCUGUCCAAGGGACUCAUGCCGUAGCACACCGAACCGCCCCACCUGAGCUCGGAGGGGAGCUCGGGGGCGAUGCAGGGGUCCACCGAAGGCCAGCUCAUCAGCCGAAGAUGAGAGAUGGGAGGCAUCCCUGAAAUGUGACAAAGCUGGUCCCAGGCGUGGCUUAUAGAAUCAGUCUCACUGCUAGAGAGCUCCAUCUCAUAUCCGUGUGUCUUUUGCCUUAUUUCUGAAGUUACAAGGAAGGUUCAGAGAAAUGGUUUCCGUCACAUCCUAUAGUUACUAGCGUUUUACAUUUCUAGGCCUGUUAGGAAUCCCUUCCCUGAAACUGGCCCCAUUGGUCAGCAAGUGGCCCCGAUGAAGUCCUACAUCCAGGGCUUUUGUUUUUCUGCAACGUAUGUUUUAAAAUUUGUCUUCUGCCCCGCAGCAGGAAAUAUUUCUCAAGGGAAUUGAAAAGAUUAAUUAGUGACCUUUCAACUCUAUUACAGUGAGAUGAGUAUGUUGCCAAUAAAGGUAGAAACAUUUACCUUACCACUGUGGGAUCUGUUAAAUAUGCAUCACGAACCUUCGAAAGCACUUCCUUCCAAGACUGGGUGACAGCUUGGAUUUUUCAAUACUUGAGGAGGGGUGGGGAUUGCUCAACUCACAAGUACGUGCAAUGCAUCCACAAAUUGGAAAUACAUAUCACAAAACUGCAGCAGUAAAAUCAUAUUUUGUACAUUAAAAUUGUAUUUGUGUUUACUUACUGUGACUACUGUUCAGACUUUAUUCAGAAAUCCUUUUUAUAGGCUUUCUUAGUAAAAAAAAAUAUAUAUAUUCCAUAUCUAUGGAUGAUGUCUCAAUCUUCUGUAUAUAUGUUUUAUUAAUAUGUAAAUAUUUAGAUUUUUUAAAAUUACUAUGUUCUUUAAAAAGAAUUUCAACACAAGGCUAGAUGUGAAAUGGUGUAUAACAUUGUGUUGUGAUAUCAAUUCCCAAGAUGCUCUUUAUGUCCGUUCCAGAAGAAUACAAUAAAUUACUUUAAUUGAA